GAUGAACGCUGGCGGCGUGCCUAAUACAUGCAAGUCGAGCGGUAACACUUCGGGUGACGAGCGGCGGACGGCUGAGUAACGCGUAGGAACAUACCCCAAACUGAGGGAUAAGCACCGGAAACGGUGUCUAAUACCGCAUGUGGUCUUCGGAUUCAAGCUUCGGCGGUUUGGGAAUGGCCUGCGUCCGAUUAGCUUGUUGGUGAGGUAAAAGCUCACCAAGGCGACGAUCGGUAGCUGGUCUGAGAGGAUGAUCAGCCAGACUGGGACUGAGACACGGCCCAGACUCCUACGGGAGGCAGCAGCAGGGAAUUUUCCACAAUGGGCGAAAGCCUGAUGGAGCAACGCCGCGUGCAGGAUGAAGGCCUUCGGGUUGUAAACUGCUUUUAUCUGUGAAGAUUAUGACGGUAGCAGAUGAAUAAGGAUCGGCUAACUCCGUGCCAGCAGCCGCGGUAA
Molecule: ribosomal RNA, 453 nt
Filed under: uncultured bacterium
Lineage: Bacteria
Description: partial 16S ribosomal RNA
Rfam family: Bacterial small subunit ribosomal RNA
Source: RNAcentral